GAGUUUGAUCAUGGCUCAGGACGAACGCUGGCGGCGUGCCUAAUACAUGCAAGUCGAACGAACCGAAACUUGAACUUGUUCAGGUUAAGGUUAGUGGCGCACGGGUGAGUAACACGUGGGGAACCUGCCCUUUAGUGGGGGAUAACAGUCGGAAACGACUGCUAAUACCGCAUAGGCAAUUUAACCGCCUGGUUAAGUUGGGAAAGGUGCUACGGCAUCAUUAAAGGAUGGCCCCGCGGUGCAUUAGCUAGUUGGUAAGGUAACGGCUUACCAAGGCGAUGAUGCAUAGCCGACCUGAGAGGGUGAUCGGCCACAUUGGGACUGAGACACGGCCCAAACUCCUACGGGAGGCAGCAGUAGGGAAUCUUCCGCAAUGGACGCAAGUCUGACGGAGCAACGCCGCGUGUGUGAAGAAGGUUUUCGGAUCGUAAAGCACUGUUGUUAGAGAAGAACGGCUACUAGAGGAAAUGUUAGUAGAUUGACGGUAUCUAACCAGAAAGCCACGGCUAACUACGUGCCAGCAGCCGCGGUAC
This 533-nucleotide ribosomal RNA is filed under the name uncultured bacterium. RNAcentral's name for it is "bacterial SSU rRNA". It matches the Rfam family "Bacterial small subunit ribosomal RNA", at positions 9 to 523 of the family's 1533-position model. The record is from RNAcentral.